This 468-nucleotide ribosomal RNA is filed under the name uncultured bacterium. RNAcentral's name for it is "partial 16S ribosomal RNA". It matches the Rfam family "Bacterial small subunit ribosomal RNA", at positions 28 to 507 of the family's 1533-position model. The record is from RNAcentral.
GACGAACGCUGGCGGCGUGCUUAACACAUGCAAGUCGAACGGAAAGGCCCUGCUUUUGUGGGGUUCUCGAGUGGCGAACGGGUGAGUAACACGUGAGUAACCUGCCCUUGACUUUGGGAUAACUUCAGGAAACUGGGGCGAUUACCGGAUAGAAUCUCCUGCUGCAUGGGGUGGGUUGGAAAGUUUCGGCGGUUGGGGCUGGACUCGCGGCUCAUCAGCUUGUUGGUGGGGUAGUGGCUUACCAAGGUUUUGACGGGUAGCCGGCCUGAGAGGGUGACCGGCCACCUUGGGACUGAGAUACGGCCCAGACUCCUACGGGAGGCAGCAGUGGGGAAUAUUGCACAAUGGGCGGAAGCCUGAUGCAGCAACGCCGCGUGCGGGAUGACGGCCUUCGGGUUGUAAACCGCUUUCGCCUGUGACGAAGCGUGAGUGACGGUAAUGGGUAAAGAAGCCCCGGCUAACUACGUG